GGUGGGAAGUGAAAAUCUUAGUGCGACAAUUGGGUCUCUAGUGGGUGUUGCGAUCUCACUAAUGCUGUGUACCUCACUUGAUAGAUAUUGAUAACAUGCACACUGAUGCAUGGAUAACUCUUUAUCCAGAUACUUCUCUAAGCAUGUUGCAACUACUUGAUCUCUAAGUCAUGUGGGCUCAUUUGAUAGAUAUUGACCACACUCCUUA
RNAcentral lists this long non-coding RNA (208 nucleotides) under Elaeis guineensis (African oil palm). RNAcentral's name for it is "long non-coding RNA (EGUI_LNC065522)". Lineage: Eukaryota; Viridiplantae; Streptophyta; Magnoliopsida; Arecales; Arecaceae. The record is from RNAcentral.